RNAcentral lists this ribosomal RNA (484 nucleotides) under uncultured bacterium. RNAcentral's name for it is "partial 16S ribosomal RNA". It matches the Rfam family "Bacterial small subunit ribosomal RNA", at positions 30 to 507 of the family's 1533-position model. The record is from RNAcentral.
AUUGAACGCUGGCGGCAGGCCUAACACAUGCGAGUCGAGCGGAUGAAGGGAGCUUGCUCCUGGAUUCAGCGGCGGACGGGUGAGUAAUGCCUAGGAAUCUGCCUGGUAGUGGGGGAAAACGUCCGGAAACGGGCGCUAAUACCGCAUACGUCCUGAGGGAGAAAGUGGGGGAUCUUCGGACCUCACGCUAUCAGAUGAGCCUAGGUCGGAUUAGCUAGUUGGUGGGGUAAAGGCCUACCAAGGCGACGAUCCGUAACUGGUCUGAGAGGAUGAUCAGUCACACUGGAACUGAGACACGGUCCAGACUCCUACGGGAGGCAGCAGUGGGGAAUAUUGGACAAUGGGCGAAAGCCUGAUCCAGCCAUGCCGCGUGUGUGAAGAAGGUCUUCGGAUUGUAAAGCACUUUAAGUUGGGAGGAAGGGCAGUAAGUUAAUACCUUGCUGUUUUGACGUUACCAACAGAAUAAGCACCGGCUAACUUCGUG